RNAcentral lists this ribosomal RNA (253 nucleotides) under uncultured bacterium. Its description in RNAcentral is "partial 16S ribosomal RNA". It matches the Rfam family "Bacterial small subunit ribosomal RNA", at positions 524 to 776 of the family's 1533-position model. The record is from RNAcentral.
UACGUAGGGUGCGAGCGUUGUCCGGAAUUAUUGGGCGUAAAGAGCUUGUAGGCGGUCUGUCGCGUCUGCCGUGAAAAUCCGGGGCUCAACCCCGGACUUGCAGUGGGUACGGGCAGACUAGAGUGUGGUAGGGGAGACUGGAAUUCCUGGUGUAGCGGUGAAAUGCGCAGAUAUCAGGAGGAACACCGAUGGCGAAGGCAGCUCGCUGGGACGGUACUGACGCUGAGGCGCGAAAGCGUGGGGAGCGAACAGG